UACGGAGGGUGCAAGCGUUAUCCGGAUUCACUGGGUUUAAAGGGUGCGUAGGCGGGCAGGUAAGUCCGUGGUGAAAUCUCUGAGCUUAACUCAGAAACUGCCAUGGAUACUAUUUGUCUUGAAUAUUGUGGAGGUAAGCGGAAUAUGUCAUGUAGCGGUGAAAUGCUUAGAUAUACAUAGAACACCAAUUGCGAAAGGCAGCUUACUACACAGUUAUUGACGCUGAGGCACGAAAGCGUGGGGAUCAAACAGG
This 253-nucleotide ribosomal RNA is filed under the name uncultured bacterium. RNAcentral describes it as "partial 16S ribosomal RNA". It matches the Rfam family "Bacterial small subunit ribosomal RNA", at positions 524 to 776 of the family's 1533-position model. The record is from RNAcentral.